Molecule: ribosomal RNA, 253 nt
Filed under: uncultured bacterium
Lineage: Bacteria
Description: partial 16S ribosomal RNA
Rfam family: Bacterial small subunit ribosomal RNA
Source: RNAcentral
UACGGAGGGUGCGAGCGUUAAUCGGAAUCACUGGGCGUAAAGCGCACGUAGGCGGCUUGGUAAGUCGGGAGUUAAAGGCAACAGCUUAACUGUUGUAAGGCUUUUGAAACUACAUUGCUAGAGUACCAGAGAGGUAAGCGGAAUUUCCUGUGUAGCGGUGAAAUGCGUAGAUAUUGGGAGGAACACCGGUGGCGAAGGCGGCCUUCUGGCCUGUAACUGACGCUCAUGCACGAAAGCGUGGGGAUCAAACAGG